Molecule: microRNA precursor, 109 nt
Organism: Chlorocebus sabaeus (green monkey)
Lineage: Eukaryota; Metazoa; Chordata; Mammalia; Primates; Cercopithecidae
Source: Ensembl
CGGUGGGCUGGAUGGGCAGGUAGGGGGCGGGCUCCGGCGCUGGGACCCCGCUCGGGUGGCGCCUUGGCCCCGCCCCGCCCCGCCCUCCCUCCGCCUCAUUGGCAGCCGC